Molecule: ribosomal RNA, 405 nt
Filed under: uncultured bacterium
Lineage: Bacteria
Description: partial 16S ribosomal RNA
Rfam family: Bacterial small subunit ribosomal RNA
Source: RNAcentral
AUUGAACGCUGCGGCAUGCUUAACACAUGCAAGUCGAGCGAGCGUCGGACGGGUGCGUAAUGCUUAGGAAUCUGCCUAUUAGUGGGGGACAACAUCUCGAAAGGGAUGCUAAUACCGCAUACUUAUAGAUGACCCUAAGUCGGAUUUGCUCGUUGGUGGGGUAAAGGCCUACCAAGGCGAAGAUCUGUAGCGGGUCUGAGAGGAUGAUCCGCCAAACGGGGACUGAUACAAGGGCCAGACUCCUACCGGAUGCAGCAGGGGGGAAUAUUGGACAAUGGGGGGAACCCUUAACCAGCCAUGGCGGGGGUGGUAAGAAGGCCUUAUGGUUGUAAAGCACUUUAAGCGAGGAGGCGGUACUCGAAGAGUAAGCAACGGCUAACUAUGUGCCAGCAGCCGCGGUAAUAC